ACCACAUUCUGACUGAGGGAGGAGAUGGAGAGCGAAUGAAAAAGAGAAGAAGAGAGAGAGUGAGAAAGAGUGCCUAAUCCAUCACAGGAAGGGAGGACUGACACAACAAAAGACAGAGUGCGGAGCAAGGCUUUUUGGCGGCUAGGGCCGAGGCAACUUCGACAAUAUUUUUUGGCGCCUGUCAGGCUGUCUAAUAAAGCAGAGCUGGAAUAUGAACUAUCUCUCACUGCUGUAAUACGCCUCAUAAAUCAGAUUUAAUUACGCGGUGUGGGGACAGGCAGUGGGAGCCCUGGCUGGAUUUAUGGGGCCUUGACUUGGCAUCUUAACAACUUUGCGCUUUUAAUAUCAUUACACUGUCAUCUAUUUUGCCUCCUGUCACAGAGCACGCCCAAACUCCCUGUGUAACAGCACAUUUUUUUUCUCACAGAGCCAUCUUUUUUCUUCGCCCCGUCUUUUUUCACCCUGAGAAAAGUGUGUUGACACCACGUAGAAGGAGCCAUUACGCCAGGCACAUAUGCCUACAGCUGUCUUGUGAUUAUCCGGUCGUUCAUCAUGCCUGAAUUACCCUAUCAAUACUGCUGCCUGCAUAGACCACAAGAGGCUGCGGACAGAGAGAUUUGUUUUUACGAGGACAGGAGUGGAGGGAAUGCAUAAGGAAAGAGGAGACGAGCAGAAAAACAUUUAAAUAUUUCCUCC
Cyprinus carpio carpio is the source of this 696-nucleotide long non-coding RNA. The record is from Ensembl. NCBI's taxonomy places the organism in Eukaryota, Metazoa, Chordata, Actinopteri, Cypriniformes, Cyprinidae.